UAGGGAAUUUUUCACAAUGAGCGAAAGCUUGAUGGAGCAAUGCCGCGUGAACGAUGAAGGUCUUUAAGAUUGUAAAGUUCUUUUAUUUGNGAAGAAGGACGNNANCAGCAGGUAAUGGCUAGAGUUUGACUGUACCAUUUUGAAUAAGUGACGACUAACUAUGUGCCAGCAGUCGCGGUAAUACCAUAGUUCGCAAGCGUUAUCCGGAUCUUUAUUUGGGGUAAAGCAACAACCGCAGGGGGAUUGAAAAGUCUGGUGUUAAAGGCAGCUGCUUAACAGUUGUAUGCAUUGGAAACUAUUAAUCUAGAGUGUGGUAGGGAGUUUUGGAAUUUCAUGUGGAGCGGUGAAAUGCGUAGAUAUAUGAAGGAACACCAGUGGCGAAGGCGAAAACUUAGGCCAUUACUGACGCUGAGGCUCGAAAGCGUGGGGAGCAAACAGGAUUAGAUACCCUGGUAGUCCACGCCGUAAACGAUGAGUGCUAGGUGUUGGGUCCUUUCCGGGACUCAGUGCCGCAGCUAACGCAUUAAGCACUCCGCCUGGGGAGUACGACCGCAAGGUUG
This 560-nucleotide ribosomal RNA is filed under the name uncultured bacterium. RNAcentral's name for it is "bacterial SSU rRNA". It matches the Rfam family "Bacterial small subunit ribosomal RNA", at positions 355 to 896 of the family's 1533-position model. The record is from RNAcentral.